This 23-nucleotide small nuclear RNA is filed under the name Arabidopsis thaliana (thale cress). RNAcentral's name for it is "snRNA_03269". The record is from RNAcentral. Lineage: Eukaryota; Viridiplantae; Streptophyta; Magnoliopsida; Brassicales; Brassicaceae.
UUCCUUGUUAGGUAACACUUUCA